CAUUACUGAGUUUACGCUCUACAACCCUUUGUGAACAUACCUACAACUGUUGCUUCGGCGGGUAGGGUCUCCGCGACCCUCCCGGCCUCCCGCCUCCGGGCGGGUCGGCGCCCGCCGGAGGAUAACCAAACUCUGAUUUAACGACGUUUCUUCUGAGUGGUACAAGCAAAUAAUCAAAACUUUUAACAACGGAUCUCUUGGUUCUGGCAUCGAUGAAGAACGCAGCGAAAUGCGAUAAGUAAUGUGAAUUGCAGAAUUCAGUGAAUCAUCGAAUCUUUGAACGCACAUUGCGCCCGCCAGCAUUCUGGCGGGCAUGCCUGUUCGAGCGUCAUUUCAACCCUCAAGCUCUGCUUGGUGUUGGGGCCCUACAGCCGAUGUAGGCCCUCAAAGGUAGUGGCGGACCCUCCCGGAGCCUCCUUUGCGUAGUAACUUUACGUCUCGCACUGGGAUCCGGAGGGACUCUUGCCGUAAAACCCCCCAAUUUUCCAAAGGUUGACCUCGGAUCAGGUAGGAAUACCCGCUGAACUUAAGCAUAUCA
RNAcentral lists this ribosomal RNA (538 nucleotides) under Colletotrichum gloeosporioides. RNAcentral describes it as "eukaryotic LSU rRNA". The stretch from base 178 to 331 matches the Rfam family "5.8S ribosomal RNA". The record is from RNAcentral. Lineage: Eukaryota; Fungi; Ascomycota; Sordariomycetes; Glomerellales; Glomerellaceae.